GGAGCAGAGGGGUUUCCGUCUGCAGCGGGACAACAGGUGAGAGGGAAUCAGGAGAUGUUCUGCUCCUCUCCUCUCCUCAGCUUGUCUGGGCUGUUACCUCGGUGCUGACGUCAAAUCCAGCUCCGGGUUUCCACCUCCCAGGUAAAUGAAACGCAACAUACUAACGAGUCUUUCUGACAAGAUGGCGGCUGUUGAUUACAAACACGGAGCACCUGGGAGAGAAGAGAGACAGGCAUUUCCAGUGCGAGUGCGCCAUCGGAGGGUUUGAUAAAAGGAUUAGGUGGUCAGCUUUACGUGGCUGCAGUCGAAUCUGGAUGUGGAGGGAGAGCUGAUUGAAUAAUUCUUGUUUCCUUUCUGCCAGCAUGGCACUCUUCUUUGGGAAAAGUAAAAAUCAGCAUUAUGCCAGAUUUGUAAAUGUGCUCUGUGUGUCUGUAGAUUCCCGUCCGCUCACCGCUGUGUGACCAGCGCCUGGAAAUCUCAGCAUGUGGAAAACCCAGUGCUUGUGUUUCUUCGUUGUUGUGAAACUUAACAUGCUCAUCUUCAUUUUCCAGAAUUUUUUAAUAUUUAUUUAUGGUGCUUUGCAAAGAAUUCACCAUCUCAUUUCUUCAGUUUUGUCACGUUGAAGUUAAUAUUUUUAAGAGGAUUGGUUGCUUGAAACAAAGUAAUACAUUUUUUAAAAAACAAAUAUGCUCCAUGCAGGCCACUGACUGAAAUGAACUGAACCUGAGUGAAGUUGCUCCUCCAUCUUCUUCAAAUAAAACAAGAUUGGUGUAAAAACAUUUUUG
This is a long non-coding RNA of Xiphophorus maculatus (southern platyfish), 785 nucleotides long. RefSeq lists it as uncharacterized. NCBI's taxonomy places the organism in Eukaryota, Metazoa, Chordata, Actinopteri, Cyprinodontiformes, Poeciliidae. The transcript is spliced from 3 exons. The record is from RefSeq and is a predicted model, not a curated record.